GGCGCGGUGGCGAAGAGGAAACGCGGGAGUCUGCAAAACUUCUACGCAAGGGUUCGAUUCCCUUCCGCGCCUCAA
This 75-nucleotide transfer RNA is filed under the name Candidatus Gottesmanbacteria bacterium RIFCSPLOWO2_01_FULL_46_9. Its description in RNAcentral is "tRNA-Cys". It matches the Rfam family "tRNA". From Rfam's summary of the family: Transfer RNA (tRNA) molecules are approximately 80 nucleotides in length. Their secondary structure includes four short double-helical elements and three loops (D, anti-codon, and T loops). The record is from RNAcentral. Lineage: Bacteria; Candidatus Gottesmaniibacteriota.